RNAcentral lists this ribosomal RNA (637 nucleotides) under uncultured Candidatus Cardinium sp. RNAcentral describes it as "bacterial SSU rRNA". It matches the Rfam family "Bacterial small subunit ribosomal RNA", at positions 28 to 660 of the family's 1533-position model. The record is from RNAcentral. Lineage: Bacteria; Pseudomonadati; Bacteroidota; Cytophagia; Cytophagales; Amoebophilaceae.
GAUGAACGCUAGCGGCAGGCCUCAUACAUGCAAGUCGAGGGGCAGCGGGACACUUCGGUGUUGCCGGCGACCGGCGGACGGGUGCGUAAUGCGCAUGCAAUCUACUUUACACUGGGGAAUAGCCUCCGGAAACGGGAAUUAAUACCCCAUAUAAUCUUAUUAGCGCAUGUUAAAAAGAUGAAAGCUCCGGCGGUGUAAAAUGAGCGUGCGUCCUAUUAGCUAGUUGGUGAGGUAAUGGCUCACCAAGGCUACGAUGGGUAGGGGUUCUUAGUGGAAGGUCCCCCACACUGGCACUGAGAUACGGGCCAGACUCCUACGGGAGGCAGCAGUAGGGAAUAUUGGUCAAUGGGCGCAAGCCUGAACCAGCCAUGCCGCGUGCAGGAUGAAGGCUCUCUGAGUUGUAAACUGCUUUUGUACAGGAGCAAAAAAAUCCCUGCGGGGGUUCUUGAGAGUACUGUAAGAAUAAGCACCGGCUAAUUCCGUGCCAGCAGCCGCGGUAAUACGGGAGGUGCAAGCGUUAUCCGGUUUUAUUGGGUUUAAAGGGUGCGUAGGCGGCUUAUUAAGUCAGUUGUGAAAUCCUAGUGCUUAACGCUAGAACUGCGAUUGAUACUAUUAGGCUUGAGUUAAGAAGAGGUAA